Molecule: non-coding RNA, 1030 nt
Organism: Myodes glareolus (Bank vole)
Lineage: Eukaryota; Metazoa; Chordata; Mammalia; Rodentia; Cricetidae
Source: RefSeq, a predicted model, not a curated record
GAGAGAACCCUCCCAUCAGAACGACAAGACUUCAGGAAGAGACACGUGGGAAACCUAUUACCUGAAUGAGAUAAAUUAACCCCUUCUAUGAAAACUGAAGUCUGAAGUCGGCCCUGUAGUGCGCAAUUCCUUUAGCACAGGAGAAAGGAGAGAGUCCUCUAUGGAGUUUGGCAGCCGCGUUCCGCACCCCUCGCUUGGCUUUGGCGCCCUGCUCGCACCUAGGCUGCUGUCUCCACUGUGUCUCUCCCAGCAGACAGGCGAAGAGAAGGGCACUGCAUGGCAGGCUCCGGAUUGAGGAAAGCCCCGUGAGUUCUCACGUCCAGAAGCAUAAGUUCAGUGAGUCACCCUGGGUGAGAGGCAGUUGGCCAGUGUUCAUCCAUCAUCAUAAAACACAACAGACAUUUUCCAGGUUAGGGGUGAAGCCCACUCAAGGGCCUUGUGAAGUCUGUCAUACUCCUUGAUCGCCACACACCUCACGAUCCUUGUAAACACAGAUCUCAACAGAGAAGAGCCACUAGUUAGCCUGUGAGAUCGUCCCAGGAUAUGAAAAUACCCCGGGAGAAGAUGGAGGACUGUUCUAUUGGAAAAGAGCAUUCUCUUCGCUGACCAUCACCCGAUGCAUCUCCCCUUCCCGUCUCCGACCCACCUUGCCACUGCUUCUCAGGAAGAGCUAUCUGCCUAAGCCAUGAAGAAGGCACAUAGGUGCUGUAUUCUGUGUCGCACACUGUACGUUAUCUGUUCUACACUGCACAUGUGCAUCUCUGGGUGCCACACUUCAAAUAUGCACAUGAUAUGUUACCAUGGCUUCACCACAUACCGCCAGCCACAUCCCCUAUUCUCAUUUUUUUAUCAUCCCUGAAAUACUGUUAGCUUUGCUCAGCCCCAUUCCUUUCUUUUAGAGAUAUUUCAAAAGUAUGCUUAACCGCCACACAACUGUGGCACUUUAUCUUGUACUAGUUUAAAGGCAUUUUAAAGAAAUGAUUGCCUGAUAGAGCCAAGAUUUCUUCUAAAGUAGGCAUUAAAUAUAUGA